This 389-nucleotide small RNA is filed under the name Arabidopsis thaliana (thale cress). Its description in RNAcentral is "ATSL085920". The record is from RNAcentral. Lineage: Eukaryota; Viridiplantae; Streptophyta; Magnoliopsida; Brassicales; Brassicaceae.
AAACAUUUGUUUGUAGAAAAAACUUUUCCACAUGUGUUGUCUAAAUCUAUGGGAUAGCACACGUCUAGGGGUUUCAUGUUACGAAAUGAUAUCAUAUAGCAUCUCUUUCUCGCCACUCUAAUCCCAUGUAGUGAGGUUUUGAUUUUUUUCCAACAAGUUUCAGCCAUGGUGGUGUCUUUAGCCCAUUCAAGUUGGCUCAUAUAGGUUUUUCCCUCUUCAGUCCUUCCUCUACAUAAUAAUAGCAUGACAUAUAUGUAGAUUGCUUCUUUCUAGUCUAUGUAGUGUGAUAAUAAUACGGGACGGUAUACUACAGAUGAAAUAGUAGAAAUAACAAUCAAAAUACAAUUAUACAAUCUUAAACACUAAACAAAACAAACAAUAGUAACAAA